Molecule: unclassified non-coding RNA, 570 nt
Filed under: uncultured Bartonella sp.
Lineage: Bacteria; Pseudomonadati; Pseudomonadota; Alphaproteobacteria; Hyphomicrobiales; Bartonellaceae
Description: partial 16S-23S ribosomal RNA intergenic spacer
Rfam family: tRNA (bases 196-269)
Source: RNAcentral
UCCCAAGCCUUCUGGCGAUCUCUUAAAAUAAAGCCUUCCAUGUUUUUAACAAACAUGGCUUUUAGGUACCUCUUUAAAUUCUUAUGAAUAUUAAAGAUCAGGGAGGUUAAAAAAGAGCUUUAACAAAGAAAGCGACUUAAAAACUUUCCAUUGAUAUAAGAUGAUACCGGGGAAGGUUUUCCGGUUUGUUCCGGAGGGCUUGUAGCUCAGUUGGUUAGAGCGCGCGCUUGAUAAGCGUGAGGUCGGAGGUUCAAGUCCUCCCAGGCCCACCAAUUACUCUAUCAAUCUAUAAGCGCUUGAGAAAUUUACUCAUAGGAAAUAUUCCGUAUCAAUUUGUAAGAAACUUACUUUUACAAAAUUAUGCUUUCUCUUUGAUUUUAAAGUCCAGAUUUUUAAAACCAAAGUUAAAGUGGUCUCAAGAUAAAACGGUGUUUUGAGGCACAGUGCAAAACAUACCGAUCUAAGUGAUGAAUAGCGGUUUAAGUGAUCUUAAAUUUGAGUGUUUCAAGUGCGUUAUGUUAUUUUUAGGGGCCGUAGCUCAGCUGGGAGAGCACCUGCUUUGCAAGCAGG